GGAGUGAUAUCAGGACGCGCGAGCUCAGUAAACACGGCAGCGGCGGCGGCUGGAGGCCGUGAGACAAGCCGGGGGACACGGCGCAAAACCCGGCCCGGACUCUCACCCGGCAGGAGCGGGCGCCGCACGCACCGGCACCCGGCUCCCGCCUCCCUCGCCUCGCCCUCCCCGCCCCUCCACGCCCCCAACCUCACUACUAUCCUGACUGGAAGCCGAGCUGCCAGAAAAGAGAGGAAGAAAAGAUUCUGGGGGAUCUCGGGAACGAAUCAACUUUUGACAUCGGUGCAUGACCAGGCAGAAACAUUGAAGCGUCACAGCAGUUGUCUGUCAUUCCUACCCAUGUGGAAAGAAAAAGGCAAAUGAGUGACUCGUUUUUAAAACCCAGCCUGCUAUGAAGCAAAGCUUCCAGAUGGGACCUAUGGACACAUCCUCAAUGCUGUUGCUCCAGAAUAGCAAAGAAAUUUGAGAUGCUAUAGCAAUGAUGAGAAAGAAAUUAUGUGGCUACCUCCCCAGACGUUGAUGAUAUCUCUCUGGAUGCCCAAAAGAAGAGCAUAUCAUGAAUAAGUACCUAUUCCAGGUUGUUCCGAGGCUCUGGCUCUGAGCCAAAGUUGGCAGUUCUAAGGAAUUGAACCAGAUUCCC
Molecule: long non-coding RNA, 640 nt
Organism: Hyaena hyaena (striped hyena)
Lineage: Eukaryota; Metazoa; Chordata; Mammalia; Carnivora; Hyaenidae
Exons: 3
Source: RefSeq, a predicted model, not a curated record